Hipposideros armiger (great roundleaf bat) is the source of this 540-nucleotide long non-coding RNA. RefSeq lists it as uncharacterized. Lineage: Eukaryota; Metazoa; Chordata; Mammalia; Chiroptera; Hipposideridae. The record is from RefSeq and is a predicted model, not a curated record. The transcript is spliced from 4 exons.
UUCUGGGGUUAGGAGAUCGCCCCGAGGACAGGCAGAGCCUGUCUGGAUAUUUUUCUUUCUUACUAAAAAUAGGCAAUGGACCACUAUCAGCAUAUACUUGGAUUUUGCUAGACAGCCCGGAAAGGGGCUUUCAAGUCGACAACAUGACGCUUGCGUCCUGAGCGUGCCUUCAUUCGCUUCUGCGUCAGCGGUUACGUCGGAAGCCGGGCGUGUGUCUGUGUCUCUGGGCACCAAGUGGCUUGUCCUAUAGCGUGAUCCCAUCCAGGAUACUACAUUCCAGAAUGUGUGUUUUGGCCAGGGUGGCUCUCAUCCCCCAGACAGCCUCAUGCCUCAAGGGGAGCUGACCCCCAGCCCCAGCUCCCAGAGUGAGCCUGCCUCGUCCAGGGUGUGACAAGCAGAGAAUGACUUCAGCUGCUUGGCGGACUCAGAGCUGACAGGCAGCAGAUGCAGGAAGCUGACUCGUUUUUUUUUUGUUGUUUUUUUUUUAGCUGAGCCAUCCUGCCACCUUUUGGCAGCUCAGCGGCAGCUCAGCUUGGGCUG